UGGCAUUUCUGUAAAUAAGUUGGUAACCUAGACGUCGAUUUCGAGGGAAGGUGACGUCUAUGAUAUUGUAGACGUCUGCUCUGCCAUACACUGACUUCUAAUGGCCCAAGGUAGACGAGAAGACAGUCUAUUGACGUCGAUUUUAAUAGGGGCCGAUGUCUACGGGGCUGCAAUUAAUGCUCCUCACCUGAUUCCCAGGCGCUUAGACAUCAUGUAGUUAAAAAGCGACGUCCUGUUCGGAAGGCGGGAAGACAAAAAUUUCUACAAUUUAGACGUCGGUGUUUAAGGGGAGAGACGUCUAUGUGCCUGUAAUUAAUUAUGUUCACCAAACUCGAAAGUCCGGCAGAAGGGCACCGACAUCUACAUUAUUGUAGACGUCGACGCCCCUUCACAACUGUCGUCAACAUCCCUG
RNAcentral lists this long non-coding RNA (412 nucleotides) under Vigna radiata. Its description in RNAcentral is "long non-coding RNA (VRAD_LNC015215)". Lineage: Eukaryota; Viridiplantae; Streptophyta; Magnoliopsida; Fabales; Fabaceae. The record is from RNAcentral.